Non-coding RNA from Megalopta genalis, 653 nucleotides. The record is from RefSeq and is a predicted model, not a curated record. Lineage: Eukaryota; Metazoa; Arthropoda; Insecta; Hymenoptera; Halictidae.
GCUUUGCAUUUUCUGCAGCUGUACCUCCCGCGAUUUGUCCUUUACGUUUUGCAACCUCUCUAUCAUUGCUUCCAAAAACGGAAUAUACUUUUGCAUUUCAGCGAACUUCUUGUCGUACUCGUCCAUCUUGUUUUUUGUGUGUCGUUCACCUGUGUCAGGAAAAGAAAAUCUUUAUAUCUUUUCAAUACCGAUCUUUACAUCGUUACACGUCCAAUUACUCGCUGAAUAUGUAUCAGCGAAUGGCUCGUUUAUUUCUACACAUAUUCAUUAAAUCAACAUUCACGGAAAAAUGCAAAGCAACCUUCAUGGCGCACAAAUUUAUUGUUACGAUCUCAAACAAAAUGGCAGCCAGUAAGAACCAACGGACAAAGCAAUAUUGAGACUUCUGGUUAAAAUUCACAUGAUCACAAAUGAACAAAAAUCAAAUCUGUCUGUACAACAAACUUAAUACAUCCAUCACAGUUUGCGGAAAGCUGUACAAACUUAUUUGGACCACCUAUUCACAUUAAUGCCCUUGUCGCGAUCGAAUAAUGAUAUUAUGAAAUGAAUUCGCAUGUAUUGCCAUUCGACUCUUUUUAUCGACAACAAUAAGGUAAAGGUGACCUUGAAAUCACGGUCAACACUGUUCGAAUAAAAUUUCUUGAAACUCCAAA